GUAGUCACUGGGGCUUUGGCUUAUCUUGCUUCUUCCUGUUUUUCUUAAACCACUGUGUGUGGGAUAUGUGUGCUGAAGAUUGGAGCAGCUAAAAGCUACAGGCAACAUUUUGCUUUCUGUUACCCCAGCACAACUUUCUCAUUUCCAAGAGGGUGCAGCCAGGAGCUCUCUUCUGCUCAGUCCAAAAGAUGCAACCACAUACCUGAACAGCCUUUUGUCCCCUCUUCCCCAUAGUCCUUGGAAAAGUGGCUCCUCCUUAAACUGGUGGCACUGGCUUCUGAUGCAGAUAAAUCACUUCCAGAGCAAGCCCAAAUAUGCAGAUAACCAUAAAAUUACAGCACCCUCUCACCACAGAGAUGUAGAGAUGGGACAUGGUCGCUCCAGCAAAACCAAACUCUGGCUUAGAAGAUUUGGAAAGUGAAAAAGAA
Molecule: long non-coding RNA, 428 nt
Filed under: Chloebia gouldiae (Gouldian finch)
Lineage: Eukaryota; Metazoa; Chordata; Aves; Passeriformes; Passeridae
Description: Erythrura gouldiae (Gouldian finch) lncRNA (ENSEGOG00005000528.1)
Source: RNAcentral